CACUUCUAAGGAAGGCAGCAGGCGCGCAAAUUACCCAAUCCUGACUCAGGGAGGUAGUGACAAGAAAUAACAAUAAACCGGCUUAUGCCGGUUUAAUUGGAAUGAGUACAAUUUAAACAUCUUAACGAGGAACAAUUGGAGGGCAAGUCUGGUGCCAGCAGCCGCGGUAAUUCCAGCUCCAAUAGCGUAUACUAAAGUUGUUGCAGUUAAAAAGCUCGUAGUUGGAUUUCUGUGGGGACGGAGCGGCCGGCCGCACAUCGCGGUUCGAGCUAGCGCUUUCCCUACAUCCUGCCGCGAACCGUGCUACCAUUAGUUUGGUGGCGCCGGGGAUCGGCUCGAUUACUUUGAGAAAAAUAGAGUGUUCAAAGCAGGCCACAUGCCUUGAAUAAGUUAGCAUGGAAUAAUAACUAAGGGCUUCGGUUCUAUUUUGUUGGUGUUCGGGACUGAAGUAAUGAUUGAUAGGGACAGUUGGGGCGGUCUGUAUUCCAAAGCGAGAGGUGAAAUUCUUAGACCUUCGGAAGAUAAACAGCUGCGAAAGCGUUCCGCAAGGAUGUUCCCUUUGAUCAAGAACGAAAGUUGGGGGAUCGAAGACGAUCAGAUACCGUCGUAGUCUCAACUAUAAACUAUACCAGCUAGGGAUCGGCCAACGUUAUUUUAUACCGACUUGGUCGGCACCUUAUGAGAAAUCAAAGCAUCUGGGUUCCGGGGGGAGUAUGGUCGCAAGGCUGAAACUUAAAGGAAUUGACGGAAGGGCACCACCAGCCGUGGAGCCUGUGGCUUAAUUUGACUCAACACGGGAAAACUUACCAGGUCCAGACAUAGUAAGGAUUGACAGAUUGAUAGCUCUUUCUUGAUUCUGUGGGUGGUGGUGCAUGGCCGUUCUUAGUUGGUGGAGUGAUUUGUCUGGUUAAUUCCGUUAACGAACGAGACCCCAGCCUGCUAAAUAGCGCGCGUGAGCUUUGCUCGCGGCGAGCUUCUUAGAGGGACUAUGAUGCGCGAUAGCACAUGGAAGUUUGGGGCAAUAACAGGUCUGUGAUGCCCUUAGAUGUUCUGGGCCGCACACGGGCUACACUGGCGCCUGCAACGAGCAUAUCAGCUGGCCCGAGAGGGUCUUGGCUAAUCUUUUGAACCGGCGCCGUGCUUGGGAUUGACCUUUGCAAUUGUUGGUCAUGCAACGAGGAAUGCCUUGUAAACGCGCGUCAUCAGCUCGCAUUGAAUACGUCCCUGCCCUUUGUACACACCGCCCGUCGCUCCUACCGAUGAAUGUUCCGAUGAAAUUUUCGGAGAGUGCCUGUGAACUUGGCUCUGCCUUGCGAACGGGAAGCUCAAAGUCACUUAAAUCUGAACAUUUC
This 1352-nucleotide ribosomal RNA is filed under the name uncultured marine eukaryote. RNAcentral describes it as "SSU rRNA". It matches the Rfam family "Eukaryotic small subunit ribosomal RNA", at positions 411 to 1775 of the family's 1831-position model. The record is from RNAcentral.